CAAUCCAUAAGAACCUUGAGACACUUCAAUCUAACCAUUCAAUUAGCCUCAAAAUCUUCAUACACACUAACAACUCGAAUACCAACAUAUUGCCCAAAAUUCACCCAUAUACAUACUACAAAAGUCAAGAAACUUUCAAUUUUGUAAACAUAAUUUUAUUUUUCAAAAUCUAAUCCAGCUAAAAACAUGAAUAAUUUUGAAAACCUUCCAAAAACUGAAUAUUAACUUGAUUGAUAUAAAACCAAUGCUAAAAAAUCUCUUUGCUAGUCUACUCUCAAAUUCCACUCUUUGAUUUGCCAAAGAAUCCUAGAGUUGCUGUAGAUACACUAUUUUGUGCCUCAAGAUCUGAUUUGAAUCUAAGUUGACAACUUGUCCUCUUUAGAUAUCAAUAUUUGGUAAAUUGAAAGAUAUAGAAUUGAGUUAUUAUUGACCAUCUCCUCU
This 441-nucleotide long non-coding RNA is filed under the name Physcomitrium patens. RNAcentral's name for it is "long non-coding RNA (PPAT_LNC001702)". The record is from RNAcentral. Lineage: Eukaryota; Viridiplantae; Streptophyta; Bryopsida; Funariales; Funariaceae.